This 164-nucleotide unclassified non-coding RNA is filed under the name uncultured Eutypella. Its description in RNAcentral is "sequence contains ITS2". Lineage: Eukaryota; Fungi; Ascomycota; Sordariomycetes; Xylariales; Diatrypaceae. The record is from RNAcentral.
CGACCAUCAAGCCCUAUUUGCUUGGCGUUGGGAGCUUACCCUGCAGCUGCGGGAUAACUCCUCAAAUAUAUUGGCAGAGUCGCGAAGACCCUAAGCGUAGUAAUUCUUCUCGCUUCAGCAGUGUUGACGCUGGCAUCUAGCCACUAAACCCCUAAUUUUUAUAG